GACGAACGCUGGCGGCGUGCUUAACACAUGCAAGUCGAACGGAAAGGCCCUGCUUUUGUGGGGUGCUCGAGUGGCGAACGGGUGAGUAACACGUGAGUAACCUGCCCUUGACUUUGGGAUAACUUCAGGAAACUGGGGCUAAUACCGGAUAGGAGCUCCUGCUGCAUGGUGGGGGUUGGAAAGUUUCGGCGGUUGGGGAUGGACUCGGGGCUUAUCCGCUUGUUGGUGGGGUAGUGGGUUACCAAGGCUUUGAGGGGUAGCCGGCCUGGGGGGGGUGCCGGCCACAUUGGGACGGAGAUGCGGCCCAGACUACUACGGGAGGCAGCAGUGGGGAAUGUUACACAAGGGGCGGAAGCCUGAUGCAGCAACGCCGCGUGCGGGAUGACGGCCUUCGGGUUGUAAACCGCUUUCGCCUGUGACGAAGCGUGAGUGACGGUAAUGGGUAAAGAAGCACCGGCUAACUACGUG
Molecule: ribosomal RNA, 468 nt
Filed under: uncultured bacterium
Lineage: Bacteria
Description: partial 16S ribosomal RNA
Rfam family: Bacterial small subunit ribosomal RNA
Source: RNAcentral